This is a long non-coding RNA of Fukomys damarensis (Damara mole-rat), 1414 nucleotides long. RefSeq lists it as uncharacterized. The record is from RefSeq and is a predicted model, not a curated record. The transcript is spliced from 5 exons. Lineage: Eukaryota; Metazoa; Chordata; Mammalia; Rodentia; Bathyergidae.
GCGCGCCUCGGUUCCCGCGGCGUCCUUCCUGGGGUCGGCGCUCGGGGCACUGGCGCCCCUCAGAUUUUACCUGCAGCCUGAGGUGAGGGCAGAGCAUCCGCUGUCACGUUGGUGGGGAAACGUGGGCGUCACUGACUGGGCGACUGCAAAACAGCCCUUUCCCAGGUCGUCGUUGACAUCCGGGUGCGCCUGGGCUCUCAAGCCCCACGGCGGGGGAAGCGGAAGAAGGGGGCGUGGGAGGCUCCCGCGUGUCCCCCCCAGAUGUCGGAGAACCUGGGGGGGGCAGAAGGCGCGACGAGGAACGCUUGGCGAGGGUGACAGGCGAGCCGUCCCCGCCUGAGGAGACCCCGCGUUUGCGUGGUCUGUCAGGUCGCUGACGGCUCCCCUGCAAGCUGCAGGUGCUAAAGUAUCUAUCCACGGCCAGCAACGAACUCAGUCUUUAUGGAGCUUCGCUUCGUGCCGGUUACCGUGCCGCGACCAGAGGGUCCCCACCCGCGUCCGAAAGCAGGGCACGCGGCUUCUGCAGUGGUCACCCCCAGAAAAGAGCUCAUUUGCCUCUGCCAUGCAACUCUACCUUGGAGCCAGCUGACUGUGGCCUGAAACCUCUACAAACUGCGAAAGGAAACCUUUCCUUCUUUAAAUGAACCGAAGCUGUUCGUGCUUGAGGAAUUCAAGGACACAGGAACAGAAAUACCUGAGACCAAAGGUGAGUGUGAUCAUGACCAGAAUCUACUUUUACAUGUGACAUCAGCAGAGAUGCGUACGCACCUCAUGUGAGAGGGCUGGAGACCAAGAAGUAGGACUUCUAGCCUGGAAGAUGGACCGGUUCUGGGGAGUUUGGUUAAUUAGGAAUAUUAAGAAGAACUGUUGGAAUUGCAGAACUGUUAGAAUGAGUGAAACCUCAGUUAGGAUGCCCCAUAUCACUGCUUCAAGACUGGGACCAGGUUGCAGAGGGCCCAUCUCAUGCGACAAACAGCAGGACAGACGGAGCAGUGUUCACGAGGGAAGAUGCCGGAUUCCUCUUCCAGGCCUUCCAGACGCACUGCGCUGCACAACCACAGCAGGUCUCGGGAUCUGAAAAGACAGGCAGGGGUCUGUUCUUUGCUCAUUGUGCAAUCAGGGCCCCAGCAUGCACGCCUGCCUGCAGUAUGGAAUAGUUUUCAGCAAUGCCAACUGACCUGUGUGCACAUCUCCACUUUAAAGAAAUGGUGCUAAGAAUCAGACCCAGGGGCUUGAGGAUCCGAAGCAUGUGCCAUACCACCGAGCUGUGCUCCUAACCCCUCCGUUUUUAUUAUAUGGGAACAUGCCAGGCUCUUCUUCGGCUUUCCUAGCAAGCUAGGUAAAUUUGGAAUUUGGAAAAUAUGUACAGAGUCAGAAAGCAAUUUCAAAGAAAUAAGUUUUUUUUGUUGCUGUU